CACCAGUGAGACUAGUGUUAUUCAUCUUAAUUAGGUUUAAAGGGUACCUAGACUGUAUAUCAAACCAUUAAACUUAUUAAGUUUAAUCUUUAUAAUAACUAUUGUACCACUUAGUUAUAAUAUAAGAGGUAUUGAUUUACUAGAGUUUUAUAUUAGGAGGGGAGUAUUUAAGAGCGUAAUGAUGAAAUAUAAUCAUACCUUAUUUGAACUGAUAACGGCGAAAGCAACCUCUUAUCUAAAGACUAACGUUGAGGGACGAAGCCUCGAUACACCAACAGG
Molecule: ribosomal RNA, 279 nt
Filed under: uncultured bacterium
Lineage: Bacteria
Description: partial 16S ribosomal RNA
Source: RNAcentral